CCUACGGGUGGCAGCAGUGAGGAAUAUUGGUCAAUGGACGCGAGUCUGAACCAGCCAAGUCGCGUGAAGGAUGACUGCCCUAUGGGUUGUAAACUUCUUUUAUAUGGGAAUAAAAUGUUCCACGUGUGUGAUUUUGUACGUACCAUAUGAAUAAGGAUCGGCUAACUCCGUGCCAGCAGCCGCGGUAAUACGGAGGAUUCGAGCGUUAUCCGGAUUUAUUGGGUUUAAAGGGAGCGUAGGUGGACUGUUAAGUCAGUUGUGAAAGUUUGGGGCUCAACCUUAGAAUUGCAGCUGAUACUGGCAGUCUUGAGUACAGUAGCGGUGGGCGGAAUGCGUGGUGUAGCGGUGAAAUGCUUAGAUAUCACGCAGAACUCCGAUUGCGAAGGCAGCUUACUGGACUGCAACUGACGCUGAGGCUCGAAAGUGUGGGUAUCAAACAGGAUUAGAUACCCCUGUAGUC
Molecule: ribosomal RNA, 460 nt
Filed under: uncultured bacterium
Lineage: Bacteria
Description: partial 16S ribosomal RNA
Rfam family: Bacterial small subunit ribosomal RNA
Source: RNAcentral